This 443-nucleotide ribosomal RNA is filed under the name uncultured bacterium. Its description in RNAcentral is "partial 16S ribosomal RNA". It matches the Rfam family "Bacterial small subunit ribosomal RNA", at positions 338 to 795 of the family's 1533-position model. The record is from RNAcentral.
CCUACGGGUGGCAACAGUGGGGAAUAUUGGACAAUGGGGGGAACCCUGAUCCAGCGACGCCGCGUGAGUGAAGAAGUAUUUCGGUAUGUAAAGCUCUAUCAGCAGGGAAGAAAGAAAUGACGGUACCUGCCUAAGAAGCCCCGGCUAACUACGUGCCAGCAGCCGCGGUAAUCCGUAGGGGGCAAGCGGUAUCCGGAUUUACUGGGUGUAAAGGGAGCGUAGACGGCGAUGCAAGUCUGACGUGAAAGGCGGGGGCCCAACCCCCGGACUGCUUUGGAAACUGGAUGGCUGGAGUGCAGGAGAGGUAAGUGGAAUGCGUGGUGUAGCGGUGAAAUGCGUAGAUAUUAGGAAGAACACCGGUGGCGAAGGCGGCUUACCGGACUGUAACUGACGUUGAGGCACGAAAGCGUGGGGAGCAAACAGGAUUAGAUACCCUGGUAGUC